This 252-nucleotide ribosomal RNA is filed under the name uncultured bacterium. Its description in RNAcentral is "partial 16S ribosomal RNA". It matches the Rfam family "Bacterial small subunit ribosomal RNA", at positions 524 to 775 of the family's 1533-position model. The record is from RNAcentral.
UACGAAGGGGGCUAGCGUUGUUCGGAAUUACUGGGCGUAAAGCGCACGUAGGCGGAUAUUUAAGUCAGGGGUGAAAUCCCGCAGCUCAACUGCGGAACUGCCUUUGAUACUGGGUAUCUUGAGUAUGGAAGAGGUUAGUGGAAUUGCGAGUGUAGAGGUGAAAUUCGUAGAUAUUCGCAGGAACACCAGUGGCGAAGGCGGCUAACUGGUCCAUAACUGACGCUGAGGUGCGAAAGCGUGGGGAGCAACAGG